This 253-nucleotide ribosomal RNA is filed under the name uncultured bacterium. RNAcentral's name for it is "partial 16S ribosomal RNA". It matches the Rfam family "Bacterial small subunit ribosomal RNA", at positions 524 to 776 of the family's 1533-position model. The record is from RNAcentral.
GACGUAGGAGGCGAGCGUUAUCCGGAUUCACUGGGCGUAAAGCGCAUGUAGGCGGUUGAACAAGUCCGUUGUUAAAGCCCCUGGCUCAACUGGGGGAGGUCAAUGGAGACUGUGCGACUUGAGGGCAAUAGAGGCACGUGGAACUCCCGGUGUAGCGGUGGAAUGCGUAGAGAUCGGGAAGAACACCAGUGGCGAAGGCGACGUGCUGGGUUGCACCUGACGCUGAAAUGCGAAAGUGUGGGGAGCAAACGGG